Molecule: long non-coding RNA, 289 nt
Filed under: Ananas comosus (pineapple)
Lineage: Eukaryota; Viridiplantae; Streptophyta; Magnoliopsida; Poales; Bromeliaceae
Description: long non-coding RNA (ACOM_LNC010143)
Source: RNAcentral
UCUUCAUUAAAUUAUCUUGAUUAUUCUUAGGUUCAUGUGAUUGUAGUUAUCAAACAGUUUGUAUAAAAAACUUAUCAAAUAGUUUGCUUAUUUUGAUUAGAAGAGAAGUUUUGUUUUAUUUGUUAUUUUGAUUGCUUAAGAUAUUCAAUCAUUAAAUUUUAGAAGAGAACUUUUGUUUUAUUUGUGGUUUUUGUUUUAUUUGUGAGUUUAGAACCAUUUUACUUGGUUGCCUUUCGACUGAUCGAUUAGAUAUCAUUUCGCUUUUGUCCCAGUCCUUUAAUGCAUUGUG